Molecule: transfer RNA, 99 nt
Filed under: Botrytis cinerea
Lineage: Eukaryota; Fungi; Ascomycota; Leotiomycetes; Helotiales; Sclerotiniaceae
Also listed under: 4 other names
Description: tRNA-Glu
Rfam family: tRNA
About the family: Transfer RNA (tRNA) molecules are approximately 80 nucleotides in length. Their secondary structure includes four short double-helical elements and three loops (D, anti-codon, and T loops). Further hydrogen bonds mediate the characteristic L-shaped molecular structure. tRNAs have two regions of fundamental functional importance: the anti-codon, which is responsible for specific mRNA codon recognition, and the 3' end, to which the tRNAs corresponding amino acid is attached (by aminoacyl-tRNA synthetases). tRNAs cope with the degeneracy of the genetic code in two manners: having more than one tRNA (with a specific anti-codon) for a particular amino acid; and 'wobble' base-pairing, i.e. permitting non-standard base-pairing at the 3rd anti-codon position.
Source: RNAcentral
UCCGGCAUGGUGUAGUGGCUAGCAUUUCCGCCUCUCAUUCGAAGCUUUACAGCUUCAAUCAGGUCGCGGGAGACCGGGGUUCAAUUCCCCGUACCGGAA